This is a long non-coding RNA of Cavia porcellus (domestic guinea pig), 1133 nucleotides long. RefSeq lists it as uncharacterized. NCBI's taxonomy places the organism in Eukaryota, Metazoa, Chordata, Mammalia, Rodentia, Caviidae. The record is from RefSeq and is a predicted model, not a curated record. The transcript is spliced from 2 exons.
GGUCCAAAGACACCCGUCCAGCUGCUGGCUGCAGACGGGGUGGUGAAUCAGAGACAGGAGUGGCCUUCUCUUCAGGGCCUGGGUGAUAAAGAUGUGGCUUGGACAAGAACCAAGGGGGAUGCUCAGGUCUUCAGUUGGGGCUGAACACCACCUAGGGAGCCUGUGGCUUGGAGAUUGGGACACAUAAGGAGAGGCAGUAGAAGGAGCCUGUGUGUUGACCCCAAAGCCAGCUGCUGCUCGCACCCAGCACAGUGGGCGGGCAGGCAGGGCUCCUGGACAAUGCUUCCCAGACUUCCAAGAGGCCUGAGGCUCUUCCAGAAACCCAGCUCUGAUUCAGGAGCUCCGGGUAGAGCAGAAACUGCACUUCUGACAAGCCCUUGGAGGACUCUGCUCUGCCAGCCGCAGGCCACCAGGUGGGAACAGAGAGCAUAGGACUGCAAGGGUGACUCCAAGCAGCAGGAAGGUCUCGGAGGUGCCCAGCUGCUGGCAGCACUUUAAGGUGGCUCAUCCUCAGCAGGUGAAAGGUCGCCAGCAGCUGUCCACGCCAGGCCCUGUGCCUUUCUGUCUUGUCUUGGAGCCAGCUGACUACCACCAAACUGACUGAAACACCAACUUAGCAGUCAUCAUUCCCUGCCUCCCUUCCUCCCUUUCCAGGAACCCAGGAUGGAACCCAGGGUCUGGUGACUGCUGGGCCAACGCUUUCCCACUGAGUACUGUGGCCCCAGUCACAGCCUCCAAUCCAAACACCCCGCAGAGGAGAUCACCAGUGAGGUCCAGAACCUUCUCAAGAUGCCCCUCCCACCACGUUACUGUCCCUGUCACCCUGGAAGUCUGUGGGUCGGCUUCCUGUGUGGGAAGGCUGAGGAUCGAGUGACAGAAGUCACUGAGGGACCCUGGCCUGGGAACUGGAUGUGGUCCAGAGACUGAAUGAGCUCCUGGCUCACACCAAGAAGUCUAGACACGUGGAAGCAAGAGGGAUACAGCCAUGUAACCUGUACCACCAAGCAGGAGCUGACAAGCCCCAGAACCAGAGCUGAAGGAACAAAUGAGAUGUCUCCAUGGGCUGGUGUGGGGCAGGACAGGGCAAUCAAGAUAAUGGAACUUUAGGAAAAUAAAAUGUUUGCCAAACAUAA